RNAcentral lists this ribosomal RNA (494 nucleotides) under uncultured bacterium. RNAcentral describes it as "partial 16S ribosomal RNA". It matches the Rfam family "Bacterial small subunit ribosomal RNA", at positions 28 to 507 of the family's 1533-position model. The record is from RNAcentral.
GACGAACGCUGGCGGCGUGCUUAACACAUGCAAGUCGAACGGUGAAGCGCCUUCCUUUUUGGGGGGUGUGGUUGCGUGGCGAACGGGAGAGUAACACGUGAGUAACCUGCCCCCUUCUUCUGGAUAACCGCAUGAAAGUGUAUCUAAUACGGGAGAUCCUGCGGCUUGCGCAUGGUUGGUCUGGUAAGGAGAUUGUUUAGGUGGGGGAUGCGCUCGCGGCCUUUCAGCUUGUUGGGGUGGUGAUGGGCUAGGAAGGCGGUGAGGUUUAGCAGGCCUGGGAGGGUAGCCGGCCACACGGGGUCGCCGGCCCGGCCGAGACUCCUACGGGAGCCAGCAGCGGGGAAUAUGGCACAAUGGGGGAUAGUGUGAUGCAGCGACGCCGCGGGAGGGAUGGAGGCCCUCGGGUUGUGACCGUCUUUCGCCAGUGAAGCGGGCCUGCCUCGUUUGUGGCUGGGUUGACGGUAACUGGCAAAGAAGCGCCGGCUAACUACGUG